CUACGGGAUGCUCCAGUGAGGAAUAUUGCACAAUGGAGGAAACUCUGAUGCAGCAACGCCGCGUGGAGGAUGACGCAUUUCGGUGUGUAAACUCCCUUUAUAUGUCAAGAAAAUGACGGUAGCAUAUGAAUAAGCUCCGGCUAACUCCGUGCCAGCAGCCGCGGUAAUACGGAGGGUGCAAGCGUUACUCGGAAUCACUGGGCGUAAAGGACGCGUAGGCGGGUUGGAAAGUCAGGUGUGAAAUCCUACAGCUUAACUGUAGAACUGCACUUGAAACUUCUAAUCUAGAGUAUGGGAGGGGGAGAUGGAAUUAGUGGUGUAGGGGUAAAAUCCGUAGAUAUCACUAGGAAUACCUAAAGCGAAGGCGAUCUCCUGGAACAUUACUGACGCUAAGGCGUGAAAGCGUGGGAGCAAACAGGAUUAGAUACCCCAGUAGUC
Molecule: ribosomal RNA, 438 nt
Filed under: uncultured bacterium
Lineage: Bacteria
Description: partial 16S ribosomal RNA
Rfam family: Bacterial small subunit ribosomal RNA
Source: RNAcentral